UUGCAACCAAAACCUUAUAUACCACAACCCCUCUUGCUCAACCAACAACCUCCAAAACUCCACUUCCCUUAAAGAGCUAAAUUAAAUUCUCUAACCUUUGGGACCCUCAAUCAGCCAACCUCCUUAUUUAGACAAAUUUUAUCCCACUUCACUAGGUUUAUACCUACUGGUACCUUGAAGAAGGAAAGAAAUUGAAAAUAUUUCUAGUCACUAAUGAUCGGCAAUAUUUGGCACAUGACCAAGUAGUAAUACAAUGCAUAACAUGAAAAUUCGUAACCAUGUUAAAUUUUAUGAAAAUGUGUAAAGUUAAUAUAUUUGGAAUUGAAAUAUUUUAUUUUUUAAAUAUAUUAUUUCCAUAGAGUGCUUAAAGAAUGUCUCGGACACUCGUUAACCAAAAA
This 398-nucleotide long non-coding RNA is filed under the name Trifolium pratense (red clover). RNAcentral describes it as "long non-coding RNA (TPRA_LNC010349)". The record is from RNAcentral. Lineage: Eukaryota; Viridiplantae; Streptophyta; Magnoliopsida; Fabales; Fabaceae.